UCUUAAUCGCUUAAAUACAGGCCGUUGAAAAGAGCGGUUGGAUGCUUAAACAACUUAUAGUACUGAUCGAGAGGAAUAAAAAAUGUCUAAGAACAGCCCUUUCGAUGUAAAAUCACCUUUUAUUAUUCGUUAGACUACCUAAUUUUAUCCAUUCUAGGCUCCUAAAAAAAAUCUCAAAAAAUUCACAUUAGACGAUUGGUUCUUGAGUGAAACGUUUGGAAAAUUUUUCGGGAAAAAUAAAAAUACAUCUGGAAGAAAUUUACGAGUGAAAUUUCGGGCGUAAUUUCGGGAUUCAGCUCGUCUACAGAGAGGUCUGUGGAGCUACACGGUCUGUUUUUCCAACCAGCUUUCCACGACUCGAACAAACGAAUCUCUUUAAAAGAUGAAAAUCUGCGACCAACGUCGUUCAUCCCCGGGGCGACUUUCUCACGCUAGCUCGGUUACUAAGUGAGGAUGUGAAAGACCACGGCGUUCGAAGGUCGUUCGUUCAAAUUGCUCGUUUUGCGCAUCGCACAAAGCCACCUCUACCACGACGUUAAGAUCUCGGUACACGAAUACACUUUAUAACCGAUUACAUACAGCGAGGCUCCAACGUUCGACGUUACGGACCGUUCGAAAUAUUGCGCGAAGCUAGUUUUUUAAAUGCUCGUGCUUAUGUAAGCACGCGAUCGAUUGGCGCGUGAACGAACGACAGAGCGCGAUAGAAAGCACGGGAGUGGGGGGAGACAGAGAGAAAUGGAGUGGGUGGUAGGAGGCUUAAUGUAGGAAAUGGAAGGGAGAGAAAAAAUUGGUUGGAAGGGCGCUGUUGCUGGGGGCGAACUCCACCGUUACGAGUGGAGUAAAAACGGUUCGAAAAAGUAACGGAUAAACGGAGAACCGAGAUGGCAGAAGAAUAGUAAGAGAACAAACGAAAAAGGAGUGGGAGAAAAAAGGCGCGCGAGAAAAGAAGAAAGAGAAGAGGAGAAAGGGUGGGAGGGAGAAGAAAGACGAAAGAACGAAGUGAAGAUUGGUGGGUGGGGAAGAUAUGAUAGAAGGAAGAAAAGGAGGAAAGAAAGCAAAGAGAUACGGAAAGAGAGAGGCGAAAGGAGUGUUUGAGAGAGGGGCGCGAGAAGCGUAGAAGAUGAGGCGGAUGAGGUGACGGGAUGAUGGGGAAACGAGUAUGGGUAGACAUGCAGGCAUGCAGACAAACAGGCACCGAGUGGAUACUGGAGAAAGAAGUUGAGAGGAAGGAGGAAGUUGCGCAACGGUCAACCGACGCGGCAUUAGAGAAGCGCAUCGAACCAACCCACGUAAAUACUUGUUCCGUUUAUUUAAAAAUAUAAGACGAUCCAAAAAGACGAAGCCAGAAUAAAGAUGAAACGCGUGAAAGGUUGAUAACACGCGCCCAAGAAGAAGAAAGAUGAAGGCACUUAUCGAUCGAUACGAUCUGAACAUAACGAUCUCUGAAUCUUGGAACGAGUACAAAAGGAACGAGCUAUAAGAAGGCCGUAAUAAAAUUCAUCCCCCGGAACGAGCCGCCGAGGCAUGCAUCCGAUUUCUUUCUUUCUCGACCAGCUCUCGGGUUUGGUCCAGCUCGUUGGUUACCGCCGCUAUGCAGCUACCUGUGAGGGAGUGAAUCGUAUAAGUACGAAUAACAACCUGUUCCCCUCUACCUGCUCGGAGAGUAGCUACGUGUAUGUGCGCGGAUAACAGCUCCUUUCCUUUGAUCUCGAAUGACGAAAGACGUCCUAUGACCGCACGUAUACUCGUUAAUUCGCGCGUUUACUUCCUCGCUUCCGUGAAAUACGCGUAUACCCUUGUUUUAAAUAUUUAUAAAUACACGAUCUUAUUUUAGCGUGCUAUUUGAAUAUCACACGCUUCCAAUCCAAUCUUGCAUUUGUUCCACGUGUGCACUGGUAAUAUGAGAAGAAAGAGCGGAGUCUCCGAUAACUCUCAGUAGGUAGUACGUUGGAAAGUUGCGAGCGGAAACAUUCGUAUUAUAGACCGUUGGAAACAUUAAGAUAGUAUUCUUGGUCAAUGUCCGAACUUCUUCUACACAAGUCACGGACGGGAUAAGGACACACGAUAAAUGGUCUGUAUACAAAGAAAAUAACAAUUAGCGGCACAUGGUAUUGGGUCGUUUCGCGGAAAUGGUCGAAACCAUCGAGAAUCUCAGUCAGUUUCCCUCCAAAACCGGUCAGCUGAUGGUAUUUGCCCGACCAGCUGAAGGGACGGCUGUCAAGGGUAGGCAGACUCGGCCAUUUUUAAAUCCCUCGUAGCCGCCGAUUUAAAAGACCACGCUUGUUUUCUGCUGCGCGUCGGCCUACUCGCCUCAGCCCCAGUCCCGGCCCCGGCCCUGGCCCCAUCCCCCACCAGGUUUGCCUUUCUGACGACGCGACGCGACGUACAGUGGCUCACGAAAGUAUUUGAACAUUUACAAUAGAAUUUUUUUAUGAAUACACUAUGUAUACUGUAGGAGAUUUUCGGAAAUAUCGCUAACAUUGUAACGAGACGCGAUUAUCAUAAUCGUAAUACUAAAAUUCGAAACUAAUCCGAACAUGUAUAUACAAGUUGCGAGACAUUUAUUGCAAACAUUAGAAAAAUUAGUAUACCUCAUAAAUAACAGUCUUAAAUACACAAUUGACGCUAAACAUGGUUUCGCUAUAUACUGUGGCUUGCUGAUACAGCGAAUAGCUGACUGUUCGUAUAAUUUGGUGAUCUUUAGGAAUCGCAUGCUUUCCAUUUACCGGAAAGUAAAUAUCUUGUAGCUUCUACGUACAUUUUCAGAUUCCGUUCAAAUUUUGUCAAUGUAAUCGCGACAGCCGUGCCUCGUUACAGUGCUAAUGAAAUAAGACAUUUUUCCUGCAAUAUAUACAGAAAAAGUUUCUUCGAAUACUUUCGUGAGCCACUGCAACUUCGUCUUGGCCUGUCCCGACCCAUCGGCUCUCGCUUCCUCUCGUGUUGUCUUCUUGUCGUCUCGUUUCAUCUCAUCUCGCCCCCUACCUUGUCAAGGCGUAAACACCAUUCCGUUCCCUUUACAUUCGUACCCUUAGACCGACGUUGGUAUCGCGGCUACCUUUUCCCGCGCUCAUUCCUACUUUCCUCGUUGUCUCGUUUCUUCACGCUAACCGGUCGAGUUGCAACGAACGUCCACGCACGUUGUCCGCGCAUCCAACGAAUCGCGCUUGUUUUUCAUUAUCUCCGCUUCACCGUUUUAGCCUCCAACCGUUACGACGAUCACGGUUCAAAUAAUCAAACGCGAGUCGGUUGAUCGCCGCACACUUUCGACGUCGAACGACUAUCUUCGAUCUUUUCUUUUCGCUAUAAUGUUACACGUUCGCUGGUUGAAUCUCGUUCUCAAGUACUCGCAAUUUGUGACUUCCGUUUGUAACAUACGAUUUUUGUUUAUAGGUUAAUGAUCUUCCUAUCUCCCUCUUUCUCUCUGUGGUUUAAAGCUGACAUCUUUUUCAUUUCAUCCGCCAGAAAGUACCCAUUUAUUUGUAAAAAUACGUUUUACACCAGUACUGUACAAUAUACUAAUUUUUUGCUUUAUUUACUGUAUAUUAAUCUUAUCACGCUAAAUAUUCCUGUACAUACAAAUAGCAGCUCACGGAAGCAUUCGUGGACUUGUAAAAACCUUUCCUUUUCUACGAAACAUUUCGAAAUUUCAUUAGCACCGUAACGAGACUCGAUUAUCACGAUUCUAUUGGUAAAGUUCGAAACGAAUUUGAGAAUGAAUAUAAAAGGUACGAGAUAUUUCGUGCAUGUAUAUAUAUAUGUGUGUAGUCUUCACUGGAAUUUUGAUUCAAAUGGUUCACGAUAAGAGCAAAUGUCCCAAAUUUGCUGCAUUUGCAUAAUUUGCAAAUUAUGAUUUCGCUGUUUUGUAAAGUGGGAAAAUUUAAGAAGAAUGACAAUUAACAAAACGCUUAAAUUAGUAAGAAGCUAAUAGAAAUCUUUGAAACUGCUUGGCAGUCUGUGCACGCCAAUAGUUCAAUUAUUUCUUGUAACGUGGUAUGAGAGAAAAAUGCGAGACAACCGCACAAAAUGAUCUGUAGUUCGAUAAAUGGAAUUCUACGGUGGAUUUAUUCGAAGGAAACUGUAUAAAUAAAAGGCUCGUGGCAUCAAUAGCUACGUUCUAACAGCAGGUCCCUCACGGCAACAAAGCAAAAUAGACCAAAAGAACGAAACUCGCCGUUUUUCCUUUCGUGGGCUCUUUUCUUCAAGAUUUCAGGUAAGUAUUAUCGAUCCCUGUGACCGCGAGACACAGGUACUACACAAGAUGUUCGACAUCUUCUCACACCUACCUGAAGAAUCGAUUCAAAAAAUACUCCAAUUGUAAUACUCAUCACCAAUGACAAUUUAGUUUUUCAUAUAUUUUUCAAUAUAUUUAUCACGAGUCUUUCAAAUUUGUUUCCUUCGUUCUUCGACUACUUCGUCGAUUCUCUUUUUUUUUUUUUUUUUUCUUCCUUUGGUUUAUUGCACAGUUAAUUCGUAAAAUCGAAGAUAAAGGUUAAGAACGAAGGAGAAGAAAAGAGAGGAAGAGAGAAAUUUGGAGGGAAGACUAGGAUGGUGGUGGAAAAAAAGCGGGAAUGUUGCGGCGAUCAGCUGAGAAAUAUUCCAAAAGAGGCUGGUCGGUCGGCCCUUUCGAUAAACCGGUUAGCCUGGCGUGGGGCAUCUUGGCGGGAAACCUCCGCCAAUGACAGUCCGCUGCUUUAUCUCUUUCUCGCUUCUUCCCUUCCUCCUUCCUUCUCUUUUGCUCGUCUGUCUUUCCCCCACCUUCCAGUCGGCUUUCUUAGAAGGAACGCAAAGCAUUUGCAUUCACGAGGGAGACCACCGCAUAGAUGCCUGGCCUGUAUCGCGCACACGUUUUGUGUCGUUGACGCGUAUCUAUGAAAAAUUCCUCUUCUAACAAUUUUGAACAGUUGUUCGUCGAAAGGAAAUAAUAGCGAUAAAGCGAGCGAAAACGUGCUUCAUGGUAAUCUCGAUUGGUAAAAGCAAAUAACGAAUUGUAAAUAGAUCUCGUUUCGUUGGCAACGUUACUCCUCUUCCCUUUAACAAACUUUUCGGUCGUAGAAUAUCAUAUGAGAGUUGGCAAUCUACCGUAUAUUACAUUGAAUGGUAGAUGCCUGUGAAUACGUCGAAAUACGAUAUUUCUUUUAAAUUUCUGUUACGUACGAUAGCUAGUGCUGUCUAUGUGUAUGUACAGCAACGUGAAGAAUUAUUCAGAUCAAUUCAAUUGAGAUUUAAUUAAUUAAUUUAAUUGAGAAAUCAUUAUCAUUUACUUAGGUUGGAGUAUUUUUUCAAAUUUCUACUCUCGUCCUUGUCAAUCGAUCUACGUGACUUCAAGCGAUUCGAGUCUGUUGAGCGAGAUUGUCAUCUUAUCUGAUUAUUAAUGUCGUAUUAGAAAUGAUUAAUGUAAGCUUGUUAUACCUAAUUAGAAAUUUGUGUUCUCAAGUUUCUAAAUAAAAUCUAACUGUUAUUGCUUUCAGCUAUAUCUUGACUAAAAAGAAAGAACUGUUGCUAGGUUAUGUAAUACCAUCCCAGUUUCGUACUUGCCAAUGUCGGUUCCCUAGAUCGAGUCAAUUUUUUCUGAACUUUGCGCUCGCAGCCAUACUUCGUAUACGUGAUAUUUUUAUUAGACGUUACUAAGUCACCGCUACAAUUUUAUUUCAUUGUAUGCCGAGUUCAAUUUGUAUGUAAUAAAACGCACUGUUACGCUGGCUCUGUGCUUAUGACAUCAACGCAAACUAGUUCCUUACCAUCCUUCCGAUGAACAUAACCUAUCCUUUCCGAAGGAAAAGAAAUGGUAUACUAUUUCAUAUUUUAUGAUCUCAGACACGAUGUAUCUCGUUUCUUAUCAUACUAAUCGCAACAUGUAAAAAUCAAACAUUUUUGAAUAGUUUUAUAGUUACGAGAUACGGUGAACGAUUAACUGCUAUUACAAAAUCGCCCAAGACUUCUACAGGGUACUGUACGGAAACGUGAUCGGCGGGAGUAAAAUUGCUAGAGACUUAGUUCACGUGUGGUCUCUCGUGUAGCAAAGUUGAAACAUAUACACGACCCAAACGCACCCGAACCGUCUACGAGCUAAAGUGGGCGGCGUUAUUCUUAGCGAGUAGGGAUACGAUGAACUUGCUUGCCCGAACCGUUUUGCUUGAUUUUUUAACGGUCGCGUCACGAGAGCAACGAAGAGAAAUAUAAAGAUAAAAUAUCGACUACUGCAGCAGAAACUUGCUGGAAUGCGAACAAAUUUGUUGUAAAAGGAAUAGAAGGAGUGCAAAGGGAAGAAGAAGGAAAAGGAGGGGUGGAUGAUAUCGAAUAAAGCGUAGGAGCUAGUUGAAGCGUGAAACGGGAAAGAAAACCGACGAGUACGGCGCCGAACGAGAUGGAUAAGCUUACCAGAAACGGUGGGAACCGGCGAGUGAGGUAGAAAGAGAAAGAAAAGACAAGUGAAUCUUCCUGGCGAUGAAUGGAACUAGAAAAUAUGAAUGGUCUUGGUCAGCGUUUUCGAGCUACAGCGUCAACGCGAUAUCCAGUAUAUGAAUGUGUACAUAUUGUCCAUUUCAAAAUGUUUCAAAUGUCGAAUAAUUUGUAAAUGAUGCGUUAACACGAAAUGUUAAUUUUGUUUAUA
Bombus huntii is the source of this 6610-nucleotide long non-coding RNA. RefSeq lists it as uncharacterized. The record is from RefSeq and is a predicted model, not a curated record. NCBI's taxonomy places the organism in Eukaryota, Metazoa, Arthropoda, Insecta, Hymenoptera, Apidae. The transcript has 2 exons.